GAAAGUUUCGAAGUCAGUCAUGGCAAGUCAGGACCUUCCCACGUGUUCUGAUUUGGUCAGAAAGAGUUGGGAGUCAUCGGGGUGGCAUAUCCAGCUCUCACCAGGAACGGUGCUCCAAGCUGGGAAGAAGCAACACCAGGAAAUCUGCUAGGAGCCCCAGUGAUGGGAGAGCAGACAUUGCCCUGUGACACAAAGAGAGACAAUAGAAAACAAGAAGGAAGAGCUCUAAAGAUUUUCAAGAUGCUGAGAAGAAAGCUUCUAGGUGAUCUAAGAAGUCAAGUUCUGAGACUUACUAAGAAAUUGCAGUGGAAGGAAAUUGGAGCCAGAAGUCCCUGGAGUCCCAUUUUUGAACUUUAUACCUGUGAUGGGAAAUUAUUCUAGCCUCUCUGAUCCUCAGUUUGCUUGCCUGAGAAAUGGAGAUGAUAACCCAUCCUGUCUUACUCACAGAGGCUGUGGCUGUCAUUAAGCAACAUAAUAAAAACUGGGAGGUUUAUUCAUUUGCAGACGCUCACCACAUUCCUCCAGGUUGACUGGAAGCUACAGUGAACAAUCAUCAUGAAAUACUGUAAAUCCAGGUCAUCUUGAUGAAUAAGUGGGUGGUCAGUCCCAUGGAGAAAUACAGCAUUUCCACAUACAACUCCAACACCAUGUAGAAAAAGUCAAAGGAUGCUGUCAACUGGUGGGCCAGCCAUGGUUCAGCUGGUAUUUGAGAAUGCAUCAAUCCCUCUGAGGUCUCUAAGAUUCAAGGUUUGUCCCCAGAAACUCAGAAGAAAUUGUAUAUUGUUUAAAAUGAAAUAACCAAGUCAUCAAAACUCAUGGCCCAUGAAUCUGUAAUGACCUGCUUGUUUCUUUCUUCCACGUUCCUCUGAUAUUGCACCUGUGAUCUGGAUCGGCUCCCUGUACCCUGUACCCUGAUGUCACUCCCAGCCUACUUCCCUCCCUUCAGGGGCACAGUGGCCCUAUGCAUUACUUUGUACCAUGCAGCAGCUCUGCUUCCGUGUGCUGACCUCUGCUGUGGUCUCAAGUCUUGCCCCUGGGCCCAGCCCCUCCCAUCUGCCUUUUUCAGAAUCAGACCUGUGGAUGUGGAGCCUUGGAAGCUGGGGUCACAUGAUUUGGGCUCCAACAGACUUGUGUGUACUCGAGUCUCUCUUUGGGGGUGCUCCAGGAAUUACUGCUAAAGGACACAGAGAAGGCUUGCAUGAGUCUUCUGCAGCACAUUAUGGGGCUUCCAGUUUGUGGCUCUCAAACUUCAGCAUGCAGAAGAGCCACAUA
This is a long non-coding RNA of Manis pentadactyla (Chinese pangolin), 1272 nucleotides long. RefSeq lists it as uncharacterized. The transcript has 3 exons. NCBI's taxonomy places the organism in Eukaryota, Metazoa, Chordata, Mammalia, Pholidota, Manidae. The record is from RefSeq and is a predicted model, not a curated record.